Molecule: ribosomal RNA, 391 nt
Filed under: uncultured bacterium
Lineage: Bacteria
Description: bacterial SSU rRNA
Rfam family: Bacterial small subunit ribosomal RNA
Source: RNAcentral
GACGAACGCUGGCGGCGCGCUUAACACAUGCAAGUCGAGCGAGAACCAGACCUCGGUCUGGGAAGACGGCGAACGGGUGAGUAACACGUGGGUAACCCACCCUUGGUACCGGGAUAGCCCGAGGAAACUCGGAUUAAUACCGGAUGGCCCAACAGCUCUUCGGGGCGGUUGGAAAAGGUAGCUUCGGCCUCCGACCAAGGACGGGCCCGCGGCGGAUUAGCUUGUUGGUGAGGUAACGGCUCACCAAGGCUUCGAUCCGUAGCGGUCUGAGAGGACGAUCAGCCACACUGGGACUGAGACACGGCCCAGACUCCUACGGGAGGCAGCAGGUGGGGAAUCUUGCGCAAUGGGCGAAAGCCUGACGCAGCGACGCCGCGUGGGGGAAGAAGGC